This is a non-coding RNA of Camellia sinensis, 415 nucleotides long. The record is from RefSeq and is a predicted model, not a curated record. NCBI's taxonomy places the organism in Eukaryota, Viridiplantae, Streptophyta, Magnoliopsida, Ericales, Theaceae.
CUGCCUCUUCUAUCUACAGAUUUCUCUGUUUUGUGCUACUGGAAUUUAGAAAGAAAGCCAUUUCAAAAGUAAGUCUUGGGUCAUCAAAUGCAUCUGGUUCUUGCUCAUCAAAAGAGCAUCAUAAUCAACAAUAUCCAGACCGAGAGGAUUGAAGGCAAUGGGAAGCAACAUGGAGAGAGAUUCAGAAUGACGGUGAAGGAUGGAUGGGGGUUGGGUGUUUUGGUUCCCUUUCUUCUUAUUUCUCUUCUUUGUUCUUUUUUUCCUCUGAUCAGACUGGGGGGUUGGGUGUUUUGGUUCACUUUUUUCUUAUUUUGUGUUAAUUGGGGGAGUGGUGAGAGAGAGAAGAGGGUAAUGUUAUUUUGUGGCUUUGUAUGUAAGGUAGUAAUUUUUUUAUUGAGAAUUGUAAAUUCAAUUU